This 196-nucleotide ribosomal RNA is filed under the name uncultured bacterium. RNAcentral's name for it is "partial 16S ribosomal RNA". It matches the Rfam family "Bacterial small subunit ribosomal RNA", at positions 328 to 539 of the family's 1533-position model. The record is from RNAcentral.
ACGCUCGACACCUACGGAGGCAGCAGUGGGGAAUAUUGCACAAUGGGGGAAACCCUGAUGCAGCGAUGCCGCGUGAAGGAAGAAGUAUCUCGGUAUGUAAACUUCUAUCAGCAGGGAAGAAAAUGACGGUACCUGACUAAGAAGCCCCGGCUAACUACGUGCCAGCAGCCGCGGUAAUCUGAGCGGCUGGCAAGGC